GACGUAGGAUGCAAGCGUUGUCCGGAAUUAUUGGGCGUAAAGAGUUCGUAGGCGGUUGCCUAAGUCUGAUGUUAAAGCCCGGAGCUCAACUCCGGCAUGGCAUUGGAAACUGGGCGGCUAGAGUGUGGCAGAGGUAUCGGGAAUUCCAGGUGUAGCGGUGAAAUGCGUAGAUAUCUGGAGGAACACCGGUGGCGAAAGCGCGAUACUGGGCCAUAACUGACGCUGAGGAACGAAAGCCAGGGGAGCAAAAGGG
RNAcentral lists this ribosomal RNA (253 nucleotides) under uncultured bacterium. RNAcentral describes it as "partial 16S ribosomal RNA". It matches the Rfam family "Bacterial small subunit ribosomal RNA", at positions 524 to 776 of the family's 1533-position model. The record is from RNAcentral.